RNAcentral lists this unclassified non-coding RNA (358 nucleotides) under Hevea brasiliensis (rubber tree). The record is from RNAcentral. Lineage: Eukaryota; Viridiplantae; Streptophyta; Magnoliopsida; Malpighiales; Euphorbiaceae.
GGGGAGCAUUUCACCUGAGCUUUGGUGACUUGUUUUGGUGCAAAAACACUAGACGCUCCUGAAGGUGUUCUGGAAAAACUCCAAAUGACCUCAUUUGUUUGCGAAUAUCUUUCUCAAUUCGAGAAGAUCGCAAAUCGGACAUCGGAUAUGGCACUGCACUAACUGAUGCACACAUUUAUAUCAGGAAGUCUUAGGGAUUAGCUUCUCUCCCUGUUGAUCUAAAUGAUGCUAUUGGGAUGUCUUAUUUACAAGAGCAAAAGUUAUCGGGCUUGGUAAGCCCAACUCAUAAACUACUACUUCUCAUUACCCAGGCCCUUAAUUUUUCCAGUCACUGAAAUAUCCCUUCCAUUUCUCUGAC